RNAcentral lists this long non-coding RNA (1151 nucleotides) under Monodelphis domestica (gray short-tailed opossum). RNAcentral describes it as "lncRNA (ENSMODG00000038592.1)". Lineage: Eukaryota; Metazoa; Chordata; Mammalia; Didelphimorphia; Didelphidae. The record is from RNAcentral.
AUGACAAAGACCAUCCAGACUAAUGAUCUUAUUAUGCAGAAGCCAACUAAGGUGACUCAGCCAAGGUCAUAUGGUAUGCAAAAGCAGAACUGGACCUUAAACACAGCCUUUCAUGUAGGAGCAAAGAAUUGGGAAAAAAGACCAACAACUGAGGAAUGGCUCAACAAAUGGCAACAUCUGAAUUUAAUAAAAUACCACUGUGCCGUAACAAUAUGGCUAAUAUAGAGAAACAUGGAAGGACUUAAAUGAACUAAUUUACAGUGAAGUAAGAAGAGCCAAGAAAACAAUUGACACAAGGACUAAAAUAAUAUAAAUGGAAAGAGCCACCACAAAACAAUCUAAGAGAAUACUGCAAAAUUAGAGAGAAUGAUCAUGAACUCAGAGAAGAGAUAUGAGAAGACAAUGUCUCCCCUCUACAUUUCUUGCUUCUCACAUAGAUUGUCAUACAGGUAUGUACUAUUUUUAUGUUGUCAGACUUUCUCUUAAUGUUAUUCACUUUUGCUCAUUUUUCUUUUGAUAUUUUCUUUCAAAUUUAUAUACAUACAUGAAGACAGCACUACGUAUACUGUAAGGGGGAAAUAUGUACAUAUGCAUAUAUGUUUUAGAAGGGAAUCAGAGAAGUAUAGAUAACACUAAAAAUAGCAGUACAAUUAUUUUUAAAAGAGAAAAAUGACCAUAAUCACAAGUUUUGUGGGAAAGGAAAACUCAUUUAUUUUGUUGUUUUAAAUGUUUUUUUUUCUAUACAUGAGUUUGCACUGUAAUUAUUAUUAUCCUAUUACAAAUUAAAAAACUAAAGUUAAUAGGAUAAAUGACUUGCUUAAGGACAUACAGGGAAUAGAGUAGAACAGGGAUUGAGUACAGAAUUGGUGGUGCAAACAAAUGUUAUAGAAGUUAAAAGGAUGGAAAAUUAUUGUGGGGUUAAAUAGUUUGAUGGAAAGUCAUCAUUAAGGAUGGAUGGCUUUGAGUCAUAGCUAUCACUAAUUAGAGAAAUGAUAGGUUGUUUCAUCUUUAUCAGCCUCAGUUUCUUCUCUAAAAAAUCAAAUCAGUGAAAAUGAUACCAAAGAAUUUCUGCAAGGGAAUAUGGGAAGCAGUUGAAUAACUGAUAUUUAUACUAAAUUGUUAUAAUUAUCCAAAAGUAAAUAUAUAAACAC